UGGUCCUAGCCUUGAACUCAACUCUCACCCAAUUUAUACAUGCAAGUCUCCGCACCCCUGUGAAAACGCCCUUGACCCCCUUCUGGAACAAGGAGCUGGUAUCAGGCACAAUAAUUAGCCCAAGACACCUAGCCUCGCCACACCCCCACGGGAAUUCAGCAGUGAUUAAUAUUAAACAUAAGCGAUAGCUUGAUUUAGUUAAAGUGAAAAGAGCCGGCAAAUCUGGUGCCAGCCGCCGCGGCUACACCAUGUGGCUCAAGUUGAACUCUUUCGGCGUAAAGCGUGAUUAAAGUAAACAUCAAACUAGAGUUAAACUUAAACUAAGUUGUAAUAAGCUUGUUAAUAAGAAACCCACAAACGAAAGUUACUCUAAGCCCCCUCAACUUGAACUCACGACCGCUCGGGCACAAACUGGGAUUAGAUACCCCACUAUGCCUUGCCGUAAACUUUUAUCUACUAAUUAAUCGCCAGGGAACUACGAGCCAAGCUUAAAACCCAAAGGACUUGACGGUACCCCAUAUCCCCCUAGAGGAGCCUGUCCUACAAUCGAUAAUCCACGUUUAACCUCACCACUUCUAGCCUAUCAGCCUGUAUACCUCCGUCGUCAGUUUACCGCGUGAGCGCCUCAAGUAAACUUAAUGAUUAUACCAUCAAUACGUCAGGUCAAGGUGCAGCACAUGAAGUGGAAAGAGAUGGGCUACACUUUCUAGCUUAGAAAACACGAAAGACUUUAUGAAAUCUAGUCAGAAGGCGGAUUUAGAAGUAAGAGUACAUCAGAACGCUACUCUUAACUCGGCACUGGGGUGUGUACACACCGCCCGUCACCCUCUUCAAAACAAAACUAUAGUAUUUAACUAAUUAAUAUACCAAAGAAGAGGCAAGUCGUAACAUGGUAAGUAUACCGGAAGGUAUGCUUGGACA
RNAcentral lists this non-coding RNA (921 nucleotides) under Gastrotheca fissipes (Igaracu marsupial frog). RNAcentral describes it as "partial 12S ribosomal RNA". It matches the Rfam family "Bacterial small subunit ribosomal RNA". Lineage: Eukaryota; Metazoa; Chordata; Amphibia; Anura; Hemiphractidae. The record is from RNAcentral.